RNAcentral lists this ribosomal RNA (1005 nucleotides) under Microbacterium sp. Its description in RNAcentral is "bacterial SSU rRNA". It matches the Rfam family "Bacterial small subunit ribosomal RNA", at positions 52 to 1067 of the family's 1533-position model. Lineage: Bacteria; Bacillati; Actinomycetota; Actinomycetes; Micrococcales; Microbacteriaceae. The record is from RNAcentral.
UACCAUGCAGUCGAACGGUGAAGCAGGAGCUUGCUCUUGUGGAUCAGUGGCGAACGGGUGAGUAACACGUGAGCAACCUGCCCCUGACUCUGGGAUAAGCGCUGGAAACGGCGUCUAAUACUGGAUAUGUGACGUGACCGCAUGGUCUGCGUCUGGAAAGAAUUUCGGUUGGGGAUGGGCUCGCGGCCUAUCAGCUUGUUGGUGAGGUAAUGGCUCACCAAGGCGUCGACGGGUAGCCGGCCUGAGAGGGUGACCGGCCACACUGGGACUGAGACACGGCCCAGACUCCUACGGGAGGCAGCAGUGGGGAAUAUUGCACAAUGGGCGAAAGCCUGAUGCAGCAACGCCGCGUGAGGGAUGACGGCCUUCGGGUUGUAAACCUCUUUUAGCAGGGAAGAAGCGAAAGUGACGGUACCUGCAGAAAAAGCGCCGGCUAACUACGUGCCAGCAGCCGCGGUAAUACGUAGGGCGCAAGCGUUAUCCGGAAUUAUUGGGCGUAAAGAGCUCGUAGGCGGUUUGUCGCGUCUGCUGUGAAAUCCCGAGGCUCAACCUCGGGCCUGCAGUGGGUACGGGCAGACUAGAGUGCGGUAGGGGAGAUUGGAAUUCCUGGUGUAGCGGUGGAAUGCGCAGAUAUCAGGAGGAACACCGAUGGCGAAGGCAGAUCUCUGGGCCGUAACUGACGCUGAGGAGCGAAAGGGUGGGGAGCAAACAGGCUUAGAUACCCUGGUAGUCCACCCCGUAAACGUUGGGAACUAGUUGUGGGGUCCAUUCCACGGAUUCCGUGACGCAGCUAACGCAUUAAGUUCCCCGCCUGGGGAGUACGGCCGCAAGGCUAAAACUCAAAGGAAUUGACGGGGACCCGCACAAGCGGCGGAGCAUGCGGAUUAAUUCGAUGCAACGCGAAGAACCUUACCAAGGCUUGACAUAUACGAGAACGGGCCAGAAAUGGUCAACUCUUUGGACACUCGUAAACAGGUGGUGCAUGGUUGUCGUCAGCUCGUGUCA